This 335-nucleotide long non-coding RNA is filed under the name Nicotiana benthamiana. RNAcentral's name for it is "long non-coding RNA (NBEN_LNC008533)". Lineage: Eukaryota; Viridiplantae; Streptophyta; Magnoliopsida; Solanales; Solanaceae. The record is from RNAcentral.
CGAUUACUGUUCCAUUGCCUCAAGCAACAACAGAUCCACAACCAUCUGGAGUUUCAGUGAUACCCAUAGUAAAUGUUAGGAGUACAGAGCCUCCAAUCAAGCCUGUAACUAGUCCGAUGGAGCCUGAGAAAGGAGUCAAGAUCUGCAUGCAACAAGCAACACCAGCUGAUGUUCCAAAAUCUGUUACAGAGGAAGGUCCAAAAUUAGAUCCACCUAAACAGUGGACUAGUCUCUUCCAGAAUAACAGACUUGCUGCAAAUGGUAUGUCCUUAGAAUAUAUUCCCCCUACGCUUGUUAAUGGCAAACCAGUUGGUCAACUGGUGAAGGAAGAAGUG